GAUGAACGCUGGCGGCGUGCUUAACACAUGCAAGUCGAACGGGAAACCUUUUAUUGAAGCUUCGGCAGAUUUCGCUGGUUUCUAGUGGCGGACGGGUGAGUAACGCGUGGGUAACCUGCCUUCUACAGGGGGAUAACAGUCAGAAAUGGCUGCUAAUACCGCAUAAGCGCACAGAGCUGCAUGGCUCAGUGUGAAAAACUCCGGUGGUAUAAGAUGGACCCGCGUUGGAUUAGCUGGUUGGUGGGGUAACUGCCCACCAAGGCGACGAUCCAUAGCCGGCCGGAGAGGGUGAACGGCCAGAUUGGGACUGAGACACGGCCUAGACUCCUACGGGAGGCAGCAGUAUGGAAUAUUGCACAAUGGGGGAAACCCUGAUGCAGCGACGCCGGGUGAAGGAAGAAGUAGCUCGGUAUGUAAACUUCUAUCAGCAGAGAAGAUAAUGACGGUACCUGACUAAGAAGCCCCGGCUAACUACGUG
RNAcentral lists this ribosomal RNA (478 nucleotides) under uncultured bacterium. RNAcentral's name for it is "partial 16S ribosomal RNA". It matches the Rfam family "Bacterial small subunit ribosomal RNA", at positions 28 to 507 of the family's 1533-position model. The record is from RNAcentral.